This is a long non-coding RNA of Myotis lucifugus (little brown bat), 296 nucleotides long. RefSeq lists it as uncharacterized. Lineage: Eukaryota; Metazoa; Chordata; Mammalia; Chiroptera; Vespertilionidae. The record is from RefSeq and is a predicted model, not a curated record. The transcript is spliced from 3 exons.
AACACCAUGCGUCUUACUGAAGUCAGAAGCUGAGAAGAGCAUACUUCAUCCAUGUGCUCCUGAGAAAAAUCCUACCUGGAUGUCUCCUUGUAUAUCUGCUAUCUUUGAAAAUGUGCUGGAAGUUACCAGAAAAAGGGAUGGAUGCCUACAGAAUUACUGAGUUAAAGGCAUGACUUUUUGAUGAAAAACUGUGCCAGUUUAUAUUACUGGCCCUUUUUGAGUGCUGUAAAAAAAUCAGAUACCCUCUCUGACCAUGUAUACUCAUCUACAAAUGGAAAUAAAAACAAUUCACAGGA